AUUGAACGCUGGCGGCAUGCCUUACACAUGCAAGUCGAACGGUAGCAGGUCUUCGGAUGCUGACGAGUGGCGAACGGGUGAGUAAUACAUCGGAACGUGCCCGAUCGUGGGGGAUAACGCAGCGAAAGCUGUGCUAAUACCGCAUACGAUCUACGGAUGAAAGCGGGGGAUCUUCGGACCUCGCGCGGACGGAGCGGCCGAUGGCAGAUUAGGUAGUUGGUGGGGUAAAGGCUCACUAAGCCUGCGAUCUGUAGCUGGUCUGAGAGGACGACCAGCCACACUGGGACUGAGACACGGCCCAGACUCCUACGGGAGGCAGCAGUGGGGAAUUUUGGACAAUGGGCGCAAGCCUGAUCCAGCCAUGCCGCGUGCAGGAUGAAGGCCUUCGGGUUGUAAACUGCUUUUGUACGGAACGAAAAGUCUCUUUUUAAUAAAGAGGGAUCAUGACGGUACCGUAAGAAUAAGCACCGGCUAACUACGUGCCAGCAGCCGCAGUAA
RNAcentral lists this ribosomal RNA (498 nucleotides) under uncultured bacterium. RNAcentral's name for it is "partial 16S ribosomal RNA". It matches the Rfam family "Bacterial small subunit ribosomal RNA", at positions 30 to 523 of the family's 1533-position model. The record is from RNAcentral.